CGGAUCAGCAUGCCGCGGUGAAUACGUUCCCGGGCCUUGUACACACCGCCCGUCACACCAUGGGAGCCGGUAAUACCCGAAGUCAGUAGUCCAACCACGUGAGGACGCUGCCGAAGGUAGGAUUGGCGACUGGGGUGAAGUCGUAACAAGGUAAC
This 155-nucleotide ribosomal RNA is filed under the name uncultured bacterium. RNAcentral's name for it is "partial 16S ribosomal RNA". It matches the Rfam family "Bacterial small subunit ribosomal RNA", at positions 1345 to 1500 of the family's 1533-position model. The record is from RNAcentral.